UUGAAGAGUUUGAUCAUGGCUCAGAUUGAACGCUGGCGGCAGGCCUAACACAUGCAAGUCGAACGGUAACAGGAAACAGCUUGCUGUUUCGCUGACGAGUGGCGGACGGGUGAGUAAUGUCUGGGAAACUGCCUGAUGGAGGGGGAUAACUACUGGAAACGGUAGCUAAUACCGCAUAAUGUCGCAAGACCAAAGAGGGGGACCUUCGGGCCUCUUGCCAUCGGAUGUGCCCAGAUGGGAUUAGCUAGUAGGUGGGGUAACGGCUCACCUAGGCGACGAUCCCUAGCUGGUCUGAGAGGAUGACCAGCCACACUGGAACUGAGACACGGUCCAGACUCCUACGGGAGGCAGCAGUGGGGAAUAUUGCACAAUGGGCGCAAGCCUGAUGCAGCCAUGCCGCGUGUAUGAAGAAGGCCUUCGGGUUGUAAAGUACUUUCAGCGGGGAGGAAGGGAGUAAAGUUAAUACCUUUGCUCAUUGACGUUACCCGCAGAAGAAGCACCGGCUAACUCCGUGCCAGCAGCCGCGGUAAUACGGAGGGUGCAAGCGUUAAUCGGAAUUACUGGGCGUAAAGCGCACGCAGGCGGUUUGUUAAGUCAGAUGUGAAAUCCCCGGGCUCAACCUGGGAACUGCAUCUGAUACUGGCAAGCUUGAGUCUCGUAGAGGGGGGUAGAAUUCCAGGUGUAGCGGUGAAAUGCGUAGAGAUCUGGAGGAAUACCGGUGGCGAAGGCGGCCCCCUGGACGAAGACUGACGCUCAGGUGCGAAAGCGUGGGGAGCAAACAGGAUUAGAUACCCUGGUAGUCCACGCCGUAAACGAUGUCGACUUGGAGGUUGUGCCCUUGAGGCGUGGCUUCCGGAGCUAACGCGUUAAGUCGACCGCCUGGGGAGUACGGCCGCAAGGUUAAAACUCAAAUGAAUUGACGGGGGCCCGCACAAGCGGUGGAGCAUGUGGUUUAAUUCGAUGCAACGCGAAGAACCUUACCUGGUCUUGACAUCCACAGAACCUUGUAGAGAUACGAGGGUGCCUUCGGGAACUGUGAGACAGGUGCUGCAUGGCUGUCGUCAGCUCGUGUUGUGAAAUGUUGGGUUAAGUCCCGCAACGAGCGCAACCCUUAUCCUUUGUUGCCAGCGGUCCGGCCGGGAACUCAAAGGAGACUGCCAGUGAUAAACUGGAGGAAGGUGGGGAUGACGUCAAGUCAUCAUGGCCCUUACGACCAGGGCUACACACGUGCUACAAUGGCGCAUACAAAGAGAAGCGACCUCGCGAGAGCAAGCGGACCUCAUAAAGUGCGUCGUAGUCCGGAUUGGAGUCUGCAACUCGACUCCAUGAAGUCGGAAUCGCUAGUAAUCGUGGAUCAGAAUGCCACGGUGAAUACGUUCCCGGGCCUUGUACACACCGCCCGUCACACCAUGGGAGUGGGUUGCAAAAGAAGUAGGUAGCUUAACCUUCGGGAGGGCGCUUACCACUUUGUGAUUCAUGACUGGGGUGAAGUCGUAACAAGGUAACCGUAGGGGAACCUGCGGUUGGAUCACCUCCUU
Molecule: ribosomal RNA, 1538 nt
Filed under: Escherichia coli
Lineage: Bacteria; Pseudomonadati; Pseudomonadota; Gammaproteobacteria; Enterobacterales; Enterobacteriaceae
Description: bacterial SSU rRNA
Rfam family: Bacterial small subunit ribosomal RNA
Source: RNAcentral